CAAGGAAUAUUGCGCAAUGGGCGAAAGCCUGACGCAGCAACACCGCGUGGAGGAUGAAUGUCUUCGGAUUGUAAACUCCUUUUCUGGGGGAAGAGAUAGGACGGUACCCCAGGAAUAAGUCUCGGCUAACUACGUGCCAGCAGCCGCGGUAAAACGUAGGAGGCAAACGUUAUCCGGAUUUACUGGGCGUAAAGCGCAUGCAGGCGGUUUUUUAAGUCGGACGUGAAAGCUCCUGGCUCAACUAGGAGAGGCCGUUCGAAACUAGAAGACUUGAGGAUGGUAGAGGAGAGUGGAAUUCCCGGUGUAGUGGUGAAAUGCGUAGAUAUCGGGAGGAACACCAGUGGCGAAAGCGGCUCUCUGGGCCAUUCCUGACGCUCAGAUGCGAAAGCUAGGGGAGAGAACGGGAUUAGAAACCCCGGUAUCCUAGCCGUAAACGAUGUCAACUAGGCGUAGGAGGUCAUUAACCCCUUCUGUGCUGUAGCUAACGCGUUAAGUGACCGCCUGGGGACUACGG
Molecule: ribosomal RNA, 514 nt
Filed under: uncultured bacterium
Lineage: Bacteria
Description: bacterial SSU rRNA
Rfam family: Bacterial small subunit ribosomal RNA
Source: RNAcentral